AUUGAACGCUGGCGGCAGGCCUAGCACAUGCAAGUCGAACGGUAACAGGAAGAAGCUUGCUUCUUUGCUGACGAGUGGCGGACGGGUGAGUAAUGUCUGGGAAACUGCCUGAUGGAGGGGGAUAACUACUGGAAACGGUGGCUAAUACCGCAUAACGUCGCAAGACCAAAGAGGGGGACCUUCGGGCCUCUUGCCAUCGGAUGUGCCCAGAUGGGAUUAGCUAGUUGGUGGGGUAACGGCUCACCAAGGCGACGAUCCCUAGCUGGUCUGAGAGGAUGACCAGCCACACUGGAACUGAGACACGGUCCAGACUCCUACGGGAGUCAGCAGUGGGGAAUAUUGCACAAUGGGCGCAAGCCUGAUGCAGCCAUGCCGCGUGUAUGAAGAAGGCCUUCGGGUUGUAAAGUACUUUCAGCGGGGAGGAAGGGAGUAAAGUUAAUACCUUUGCUCAUUGACGUUACCCGCAGAAGAAGCACCGGCUAACUCCGUGCCAGCCGCCGCGGUAA
This 506-nucleotide ribosomal RNA is filed under the name uncultured bacterium. RNAcentral describes it as "partial 16S ribosomal RNA". It matches the Rfam family "Bacterial small subunit ribosomal RNA", at positions 30 to 523 of the family's 1533-position model. The record is from RNAcentral.